GCGGGCGCGCUGCUGUGGAGCACUUUGCGGGCCACCUUCUUUUUUUUUUUAAAAGUCAUCCUUACAAGGUUGCGGUGGUAGACGCACUACCACCCUACUGCCAAGGCAGCCUGGAUCAUAACACAGAACCUCGAUAGGGCCAGAGAUCAGAGAAGAGAAGAGAAGUUUGUUCCACCACACACCUACUGGAAACCUCAACAGCCAGGUGACACCACACACCUACUGGAGUUCUCAACAGCUAGGUGACAACUACAGCCACUGCCAUGACCACACAGAUCAUCUAGAGCUCUCCAGUUGACAGGCCCAGAGCUCCACUUGAAUCUUGGAUCUUGAACUUGAAAGCUCUCCAGUUGCAGGCCCAGAGCUCCAGCCUUGUACCCCAGAGACUCCCUGCACCACAGGGGGGGUCUACACACCACCAAGGUGUGGAUGGGUUUUGGUAAACCAGGGCCCUUCCUGGUGGGGUGACCGGGAUUCGAACCCAGGAUCUCUCGAAGCCUUAACGAAAUCAGCUUGAGUGUCUUAACCAUUUAGACGACCCCCCCGACCUUCUUGUACGCCGUCUGGUGUGCGUACUGGUCCCGCGAGCCUGCUAAGCAGACGUCGGAGCAUGUGGUUCGGGAGGUGGUCAGCGAGCUGCGCAGGGUGAUGCAGCUGCGUUUCACUGCCGCCACGCUAACCCCUGAAACCCUGUCGGCUCUGCCCACACAGCUUCUCACCGCGCAGCUCAAGGCGGCUAAGCUGGAGCACUUUGUUGCCAUCUGGACGGCAGGUGGCGCGCUUUGUGAAGUGGAGGAGGUUCAGGGUGGGUCACCGAAGUUGAACUUGCGGCUGACGCUUGCAUCACCUGUGCAGGCCCCCUGGGUUUCCUUUUGGGCGGCGUUUCUUUCCAAGCGCUGGCGUGGUGUACUAUCGUCAUCAGCUUAUCUGGCGCCCAUGUGUUUUAGCUCUGGCUGGCGUCACAGCGCCUGGGCGGCUGUGGGACUUCCUGCACAGCGCGUCUUGCAGCGGGCUGGAGCCCACUUAUUUAGCGCCACAUCUGGCCCGUUUAGUCUUCUGCUUGUGUCUCCUCUGCCGGUUCUCCUGGGGUGUUGCUUAAGCAACCGACUUGUGGGGGUGGGGUGGGUUUGGGCGGGGCGAGUGCGUAGCGCUGGUGUUUCUUUUUCUGGCGCGCGGUGGUGGUGGUUCUUGCGGUUAGGCUGUGGUGUAGGUUGGUGCUUGGGUUAGGUCUGGCUGUGUUUUUGUGCAACCCCUCCCGGGGGGCGGGGGGGCCAGCCUCCUGCUCUGUCUGCCGGGUCGGGGUGGGGUGGGGUGGGAUGGAUGGGGGUGGUUGUUGGCGGUUUUCGAGGUGUUUGUUUUCUGUUUUUCUUCUCUUUUCUUCUCUUCUUGCCCUGUCAGGGUUCUGGUCUCGGGGACCAGGCUGUCUUCAGGCAGCAGGGGGGCAGCGCGUCUGCCCCUGUUCAACCUUGUAAGGAUGAUCCCUCAAAAAAAAAAAACGCGGCGCGCACACAUUCUGCCUGCAUACCUUUUUGGGCUGAGCCCCCCGAGCGAAGCGAUCCAGGGGGGGGCGAAGCCCCCCAGGAUUGCCCCUGUCCGUGCCUGCCUGCGUGCCUGCCUGCGUCGACAAAAAGUGCCAAUCUGGCGCAAACCGCGAGUGCCACGUAUUAUUAAUUGCUAUUCCCUAUUGUAGAAAAAUAGGCGGCAGGGAAAACUCGGCCGGGGCGAGAAGCGACCUCGUGAGUCCAUGGACAUCUUGACUUUCUUCAGUCCGCGAGUAUAGCUCUCGGCCCCUAAAUAUCUUACAUCCAUGUAUCAAAACAUGUCGACGACAAGCGUCUUGGGGCAAGAAUGUCGAAAUUGUUUGCAACAGCCAAACCAUGCGUCCCCGAGCCUUAAAUGUGUCGCGGCCCGGGAUCCCGCGCCCGAGCCCGGCUAGCCGUUUGCGGUGCUUGAGUGGGAUGUGGGUGAGGUGCAUUUGGGAUAUCAUGGACCGUGAAGUGGCGUGGGUAAGGUGGCGUGGCGUGGCGGGGACAGGGCAUGUCGGUGCCUCGGCACGGCGUUGGCAUAGUGGCUAGUCCCGCUGGAUGGGCUUGCAAGGGUGCUGUUCAUGUCGCCGGUGCCCAUCGUCACAUCCCUUGCGCUUCAUGGGGCUCAGCCCAUUUUCCAGCUGUACAAAGCUGACACCCCUUGUUUUUUUAAAGUCAUCCUUACAAGGUUGCGGUGGUAGACGCACUCCCACCCUACUGCCAAGGCAGCCUGGAACAUAUCACAGAACCUCGAUAGGGCCAGAGAUCAGAGAAGAGAAGAGAAGUUUUUGUUCCACCACACACCUACUGGAAACCUCAACAGCCAGGUGACACCACACACCUACUGGAGUUCUCAACAGCUAGGUGACAACUACAGCCACUGCCAUGACCACACAGAUCAUCUAGAGCUCUCCAGUUGACAGGCCCAGAGCUCCACUUGAAUCUUGGAUCUUGAACUUGAAAGCUCUCCAGUUGCAGGCCCAGAGCUCCAGCCUUGUACCCCAGAGACUCCCUGCACCACAGGGGGGUCUACACACCAACAAGGUGUGGAUGGGUUUUGGUAAACCAGGGCCCUUCCUGGUGGGGUGACCGGGAUACACCUUGCCAUGCACCCCUGCUGGCAAGUGGUAUUGCAACCGCUGCCAGGGCAGUGCUUCCACAGCUGUUGACGUGGAUGCGCCUGUUGUGGAAGCAAGCAGCGGCUGCGAUGAUCCGGAGAUGGAAGCCAUUCUCCGCACAGUGAAUACGGGGGACGCCAGCAGGCAGCUUGUCCGGUUCCGCCAAUACCUGGCGACCGUACGUAGCCCUGGGGGGGUGUCGUUCCACGGGCGAGUGUCAUGAAGGAGCAUCGUCGUGCAGCUGUGCAGCUGCGGCAGCCGGGCAGCAGAACACGCCGGCGAGAGAACUGCAGUCGUAUGCGUCCCCGUCCCAGCACUCGGGUGAGGGGCCGCGGCGUUCCGCGCGGCUGCAGGAGCAGGCGGCGGGCGGGGCGGGGCCUAGCACGGGGCCUGCCACGGCGGCGGCGGCAGCAGCGGCGGCGGUGGCGGGCUAUCACAAGCGGGGGGGGUCGUCUAAAUGGUUAAGACACUCAAGCCGAUUUCGUUAAGGCUUCGAGAGAUCCUGGGUUCGAAUCCCGGUCACCCCACCAGGAAGGGCCCUGGUUUACCAAAACCCAUCCACACCUUGGUGGUGUGUAGACCCCCCCUGUGGUGCAGGGAGUCUCUGGGGUACAAGGCUGGAGCUCUGGGCCUGCAACUGCAGAGCUUUCAAGUUCAAGAUCCAAGAUUCAAGUGGAGCUCUGGGCCUGUCAACUGGAGAGCUCUAGAUGAUCUGUGUGGUCAAGGCCGUGGCUGUAGUUGUCACCUAGCUGUUGAGAACUCCAGUAGGUGUGUGGUGUCACCUAGCUGUUGAGGUCUCCAGUAGGUGUGUGGUGGAACAAACUUCUCUUCUCUUCUCUGAUCUCUGGCCCUAUCGAGGUUCUGUGAUAUGAUCCAGGCUGCCUUGGCAGUAGGGUGGUAGUGCGUCUACCACCGCAACCUUGUAAGGAUGACUUUAAAAAAAAAAAAAACCCUCGCACGCCGCCCCCGGAUGCGUCCCUUCUGCGGGGUACGUGGCGGAGGCUGUGGGACAGCCACGCCAGUCGGGGGGCUAAGGUGCUGGUGUACCGGCUGCAACAUGCUUACCUGCCUUGCGGGCUGUACCGGGCGGGCAAGGGCAUUCGGCCACGGGUGACCACGGGGUGCGGGGGGUUGGGGGCGCACUGUCCUCACCCCGCCUGCGGGCCACCUGGCCCGCGGGCGUGGGCCAGCCUGACACACAUCUUCCUGGAGUGUCCAGCUUAUGCGCAGGCAAGGACGUGGCUACAGCAGCUGUGGGCCUGCGUUGCGCCCCAGGCAGCGGAGCCACCAGUGACGGACGCGGGCUUCAUGCUGGGGGACCGCAUGGGUGUUUUUUUGAGGAAUCAUCCUUACAAGGUUGAACAGGGGCAGACGCACUGCCCCCCUGCUGCCUGAAAGCAGCCCGGUCCCCGAGACCAGAACCCUGAAAGGGCAAGAAGAGAAGAAAAGAGAAGAAAACAGAAAGCAAACACCUCGAAAACGCCAGCAACCACCAAUCCCACCCCAUCCCACCCCGACCCGGCAGACAGAGCAGGAGGCUGGCCCCCCCGCCCCCCGGGAGGGGUUGCACAAAAAACACCGCCAGACCUAACCCAAGCACCAACCUACACCAUAGCCUAACCGCAAGAACCACCACCACCGCGCGCCAGAAGAGAAAACACCAGCGCUACGCACUCGCCCCGCCCAAACCCACCCCACCCCCACAAGUCGGUUGCUUAAGCAACACCCCAGGAGAACCCAGGAGAACCGGCAGAGGAGACACAAGCAGAAAACUAAACGGGCCAGAUGUGGCGCUGACUACGCGGGCUCCAGCCCGCCGCAAGACGCGCUGUGCAGGAAGGCCCACAGCCGCCCAGGCGCUGCGACUCCAGCCAGAGCUAAAACACAUGGGCGCCAGAUAAGCUGAUGACGAUAUCAUGCCACGCCAGCGCCUGGAAAGAAACGCCGCCCAAAAGGAAACCUAGGGGGCCUGCACAGGUGAUGCAAGCGUCAGCCGCAAGUUCAACUUCGGUGACCCACCCUGAACCUCCUCCACUUCACAAAGCGCGCCACCCGCCGUCCAGAUGGCAACAAAGUGCGCCAGCUUAGCCGCCUUGAGCUGUGCGGUGAGAAGCUGUGUGGGCAGAGCCGACAGGGUUUCAGGGGUUAGCGUGGCGGCAGUGAAACGCAGCUGCAUCACCCUGUGCAGCUCGCUGACCACCUCCCGAACCACAUGCUCCGACGUCUGCUUAGCAGGCUCGCGGGACCAGUACGCACACCAGACGGUGUACAAGAAGGUGGCCCGCAAAGUGCUCCACAGCAGCGCGCCCGCCCCCCGCGGGCCUGAGGCCCACAUACCCAUGCGGUCCCCCAGCAUGAAGCCCGCGUCCGUCACUGGUGGCUCCGCUGCCUGGGGCGCAACGCAGGCCCACAGCUGCUGUAGCCACGUCCUUGCCUGCGCAUAAAGCUGGACACUCCAGGAAGAUGUGUGUCAGGCUGGCCCACGCCCGCGGGCCAGGCGGCCCGCAGGCGGGGUGAGGACAGUGCGCCCCCAACCCCCCGCACCCCGUGGUCACCCGUGGCCGAAUGCCCUUGCCCGCCCGGUACAGCCCGCAAGGCAGGUAAGCAUGUUGCAGCCGGUACACCAGCACCUUUGCCCCCCGACUGGCGUGGCUGUCCCACAGCCUCCGCCACGUACCCCGCAGAAGGGACGCAUCCGGGGGCGGCGUGCGAGGGUCGCCCGCCACCGCCACCGCUGCUGCCGCCGCCGCCGUGGCAGGCCCCGUGCUAGGCCCCGCCCCGCCCGCCGCCUGCUCCUGCAGCCUGGCAUGGGUGUGUGGGCCUCCGGGACAAGAGAAGAGAAGUUUGUUCCACCACACACCUACUGGAGACCUCAACAGCUAGGUGACACCACACACCUACUGGAGUUCUCAACAGCUAGGUGACAACUACAACCACGGGCUUGACCACACGGAUCAUCUACAGCUCUCCAGUUGACAGGCCCAGAGCUCCACUUGAAUCUUGGAUCUUGAACUUGAAAGCUCUGCAGUUGCAGGCCCAGAGCUCCAGCCUUGUACCCCAGAGACUCCCUGCACCACAGGGGGGGUCUACACACCACCAAGGUGUGGAUGGGUUUUGGUAAACCAGGGCCCUUCCUGGAGGGGUGACCGGGAUUCGAACCCAGGAUCUCUCGAAGCCUUAACGAAAUCGGCUUGAGUGUCUUAACCAUUUNN
This 5856-nucleotide long non-coding RNA is filed under the name Chlamydomonas reinhardtii. Its description in RNAcentral is "long non-coding RNA (CREI_LNC000128)". The stretch from base 3087 to 3171 matches the Rfam family "tRNA". Lineage: Eukaryota; Viridiplantae; Chlorophyta; Chlorophyceae; Chlamydomonadales; Chlamydomonadaceae. The record is from RNAcentral.